GGCGGCGUGCUUAACACAUGCAAGUCGAACGGUGAAGCCCUUCGGGGUGGAUCAGUGGCGAACGGGUGAGUAACACGUGGGCAAUCUGCCCUGCACUCUGGGACAAGCCUUGGAAACGGGGUCUAAUACCGGAUAUGACCUUCCUCUGCAUGGGGGUUGGUGGAAAGCUCCGGCGGUGCAGGAUGAGCCCGCGGCCUAUCAGCUUGUUGGUGGGGUAAUGGCCUACCAAGGCGACGACGGGUAGCCGGCCUGAGAGGGCGACCGGCCACACUGGGACUGAGACACGGCCCAGACUCCUACGGGAGGCAGCAGUGGGGAAUAUUGCACAAUGGGCGAAAGCCUGAUGCAGCGACGCCGCGUGAGGGAUGACGGCCUUCGGGUUGUAAACCUCUUUCAGCAGGGAAGAAGCGCAAGUGACGGUACCUGCAGAAGAAGCACCGGCUAACUACGUGCCAGCAGCCGCGGUAAUACGUAGGGUGCGAGCGUUGUCCGGAAUUAUUGGGCGUAAAGAGCUCGUAGGCGGCCUGUCGCGUCGGAUGUGAAAGCCCGGGGCUUAACCCCGGGUCUGCAUUCGAUACGGGCAGGCUAGAGUGUGGUAGGGGAGAUCGGAAUUCCUGGUGUAGCGGUGAAAUGCGCAGAUAUCAGGAGGAACACCGGUGGCGAAGGCGGAUCUCUGGGCCAUUACUGACGCUGAGGAGCGAAAGCGUGGGGAGCGAACAGGAUUAGAUACCCUGGUAGUCCACGCCGUAAACGUUGGGAACUAGGUGUUGGCGACAUUCCACGUCGUCGGUGCCGCAGCUAACGCAUUAAGUUCCCCGCCUGGGGAGUACGGCCGC
Molecule: ribosomal RNA, 836 nt
Filed under: Kitasatospora sp. IM-6832
Lineage: Bacteria; Bacillati; Actinomycetota; Actinomycetes; Kitasatosporales; Streptomycetaceae
Description: bacterial SSU rRNA
Rfam family: Bacterial small subunit ribosomal RNA
Source: RNAcentral